This is a long non-coding RNA of Schistocerca nitens (vagrant locust), 913 nucleotides long. RefSeq lists it as uncharacterized. Lineage: Eukaryota; Metazoa; Arthropoda; Insecta; Orthoptera; Acrididae. The transcript has 2 exons. The record is from RefSeq and is a predicted model, not a curated record.
AGCAGUUACAUUGCAAUUUCUGGCAACUGGCGAAUCAUACAAGAGCUUGUCAUUUGCACACCAUAUUUCAGUUUUGAGUCUGUCUAAACUGAUAAUAGAUGUAUGCUGUGAAAUACUUUAAAAGGAUAAGUAUUUGAAGGUUCACGUUUCCUCCAUUACUGACUUAAAAAAAUAGGAAAAAGUGAAAACUUUCACUUCACUUUUGAUUUCUUACAGGCACCAACAACUGAGGAGGAUUGGCUUCAAAUAGCAGCAGUUUUGAUAAAUUGUGGCAGUUUCCAAACUGCAUAGGUGCUACGGAUGGUACACACAUUGUGUUCUCCCCACUGCGGACUGCAUGUUCACAGUACUACAACUACAGAAAAUUCGAUAGUGUUGUGCAGCUUACAGUAGUGGAUGCACGUUACAGAUUUCAACUUUUUGACAUUGUAGUUUUGAUGAACAGUAAAAUAAGCGUUGCCCUAUUAGAAAAUUGGUUGAAUGAGCCACAGGCAAAAUCCUUGGAGUGCAGCAAUAUUACUGUACCGGUACCAUAUGCAAUUGUGGCUGAUGAUGCUUUUUGGUUGGAGUCAAACAUAAUGAAACCAUUCAGAGACUGUGGUGGUGAUAAAACCAAAAGUGUGUUCAAUUACAGACUAUCAUGGGCAAGGGGAGUGGUAGAAAAUACAUUUGCCAUCCUUGCAAAUAUAUCCAGAGUUCUCCUGGGUUCAAUAAGGCUGCCAGUUGAAAAAGUAGUGCAAAUUGUGGAGACACUAUGCAUUUUGCACAAUUUUUUGAUAGCUGAAGGAGAUUCCACAUAUUUGCUGGCUUACAGAUGUGGAGGACACACAAUUGUGCAUAGUGGAGGAAGGAGCUUGGAGGAUGGAUGCUGCUCUACCAGGCAUUGCUCAACAGGGUGGAAAUCGAACACCGU